This is a non-coding RNA of Aegilops tauschii subsp. strangulata, 1981 nucleotides long. NCBI's taxonomy places the organism in Eukaryota, Viridiplantae, Streptophyta, Magnoliopsida, Poales, Poaceae. The record is from RefSeq and is a predicted model, not a curated record.
UAUCCUCGCAUCGCAUCGCUCUCGCAGCCCUCGCAUCUCAUCGCUCCAUCGCCGCCACCUCCGUCCCCCACACCGCGGGCCGCGGCCUCUGCCCCCGAUGCCGCUCGCCGCGACCUCCGCCCCCGAUGCCGCUCGCCGCGACCUCCGCCCCCUAUGCCGUCGGUCGCUGCCUCCACCCCCACGCCGCCGGCCGCCGCCUCCAGCCACAUGUCGCGGGCCACCGCCUCCCUCUCCCAUGCUGGCGAUCGCCGGCUCCCUCCCCCACGCCGGCGCUCGCCGCCUCCCUCCCCAAUAACGCCGGCGGCUACACCAUGCUUCCAACCCCACCCGCCGCUCUUGGUGUCGGGGGUGGUCGCCCGCACUGUCGAUGUGCCGCUGCCGCGUGCAGGAAGUUCAACGGCACAAUCCCCGGCCGUUCAAUCUCGCUGCUGUGGGCGUGCCCCGCUCCAACUCCAUCGCCUCUGCUUCACUGGUAAAACAAUGCGACCUGAGGAACCACGGGGGUCGAGGACGUCCAGCUCCGCAGUCCAACUCGGCGUGAUUCAUGUCAUCGAUAGCCUUCAUGUAGCAGCCCAGUAUGUAUUUUAUCAUCAGUUCGUAAAGGAAAGCUGAAUCAGUGCAGUGUGCGUGUUAAAAAAUUAAUUCAGUUUUAUAUUGUAUGGUAGUUCAUUGUAUAGAAAAUUUGUAAUACUUCCUGCUUUUCAGUCCAUCUACUUCCUGGUCACAAGUCUAAUUAGUAGAAAUUCAAAUAUGAAAAUAACAUCCAUCUUGUUCUGGUAAUCAUCUUCAACCAAUUUCGUAUGUAUCAGACUUGCAUAUGUUGAUUAGUAGGGUAGAUCUCUGUUGUAUAAGAAGCUAGAUGUUGAUUCUCAGUCAUCUUGAGUCGGUUGCCUAUAUCACUUCAGAUCCUUUUUCUUGUUGGUCCAGUGCAUGUCCCGCAAUGAGCCAGGACAGGGAAGUUGUUGGACACUAUCGUCUUCGUCGGCCGUCACGCUAUGAGUGGCUAUGGCCAUUGGUCACUGUUGGUCGUCGGUCGUUCUUCUUCGCCACCUCCUGAAGGUCAGCUUCUGGUACACGGGAAUGAAACACCAGACAAAGCAAAAUUGAGUGAUCACCGGAAUGGAACAGCCACAAUCUUUGACAUAUGGUGGUUCUUCAGUGCGCGUAUGGAAGGCCGAGAAGUUCUAUUGCUCGUAUACGCCAAGUUCAGAGAAGUUGCCGCCAACGGCGCCGGAGCAGCGGUCAAAAUUAAACUUGGUUUCAGUUUGUGCAUGAGUUUUUUACAUCAAUUUGUGCAUAUGUGUUAAUUGGUGGCUGGUGUGUGUGUGCAGGCAGGGGCGGAGCUUUGUACGGGCAGACCUGGGCCAUGGCCCGCCCAGGAUUUUUUUUUUUUUGCAUCAGUUCGACAAAAAAAGUGUACAAUAGUUCAAACUCUGAGAGCUAUUAAGUUUUAUUUUUUUAGAAUGGGAGUUGUAUGUUUACUCUCUGCCUGUACAGUGCAUUUUGUAUUCCUGGUCGUUGUAGUUUUUUUUUGUGUUAAUAAAAAUGAAUUAUGUAUUUGUUAAUCAUUCCUCCACUUCCACUAGAAGAAAAGUGAUUUAGACUCUUUAUUGCAAUCAGUUAGUUAACUAUCUUAGUUCAACGAGUUAACCGUCUCGAUUCACUUUUCUUGCUUCCAGGGCCAACCACGGUCGCCGCUCCUCGACCCUAUUCCCGUUCGUCUGAUGGUGCUCUUGUUUCAGGGCCGGGGGAGAAGGCAGAACCUCUGGGUGCAUGAUGGAAAAAAAUUGCAAGUUCUUGUUUAGAGGUUCAGGAUACCCUUCUCUCAUUUCAUUUAUGUUCAGGAUAGCAGGUGCAUGAUGGAAAAUUGUGUAUCAUGUAGUUCUUGUUUAGAUGUCGUGCAAAUUAAAAAAUUGUCGAUUUUGCCAUUGGAGAGAACCCGUUGGUUGCAUUGUUUUUGCAGUGUGACGUCCCUUGGUAU